RNAcentral lists this ribosomal RNA (549 nucleotides) under uncultured bacterium. RNAcentral describes it as "bacterial SSU rRNA". It matches the Rfam family "Bacterial small subunit ribosomal RNA", at positions 355 to 895 of the family's 1533-position model. The record is from RNAcentral.
UAGGGAAUCUUCGGCAAUGGACGGAAGUCUGACCGAGCAACGCCGCGUGAGUGAAGAAGGUUUUCGGAUCGUAAAGCUCUGUUGUAAGAGAAGAACGAGUGUGAGAGUGGAAAGUUCACACUGUGACGGUAUCUUACCAGAAAGGGACGGCUAACUACGUGCCAGCAGCCGCGGUAAUACGUAGGUCCCGAGCGUUGUCCGGAUUUAUUGGGCGUAAAGCGAGCGCAGGCGGUUAGAUAAGUCUGAAGUUAAAGGCUGUGGCUUAACCAUAGUAGGCUUUGGAAACUGUUUAACUUGAGUGCAAGAGGGGAGAGUGGAAUUCCAUGUGUAGCGGUGAAAUGCGUAGAUAUAUGGAGGAACACCGGUGGCGAAAGCGGCUCUCUGGCUUGUAACUGACGCUGAGGUUCGAAAGCGUGGGGAGCAAACAGGAUUAGAUACCUUGGUAGUCCACGCUGUAAACGAUGAGUGCUAGGUGUUAGACCCUUUCCGGGGUUUAGUGCCGUAGCUAACGCAUUAAGCACUCCGCCUGGGGAGUACGACCGCAAGGUU